This 263-nucleotide unclassified non-coding RNA is filed under the name plant metagenome. RNAcentral describes it as "partial contains small subunit ribosomal RNA, internal transcribed spacer 1, and 5.8S ribosomal RNA". The record is from RNAcentral.
UUUCCGUAGGUGAACCUGCGGAAGGAUCAUUAUUGUAUAACCGAGGUGCGAGGGCUGUCGCUGACCCGAAAGGUCGUGCACGCCCGAGUGCCCUCACACACAUCCAUCUCACCCCUGUGUGCACCACCGCGUGGGUCCCCCUUUGGCUUGUUCGGAGGGGGGCUUACGUUUUCACACAAACUUUGUAUGCAGUGUAGAAUGUAUUUUUUGUUUUUGCGAUCACGCAAUCAAUACAACUUUCAACAACGGAUCUCUUGGCUCUC